CAUUCCAGCAAGGCAGAGGGGCACACAGUGGGGACAGCCUUGGGGCUCUGGCUCUUAGGGCAUCUGGGGAGACCCUUGGCGGAUAGAGGUGGGCUUUCCGAUUCUGACUAGGGCCUCAGAAAUUGCUUCUGCCCGUCUCUGCCCUGGCUCCUCUCAGCUGAGGGUCCCAGCAUCACUGUCUGAGUGGGCCUUGUCUCCUCCUCUUCCUGCCACAGCCUGCGGUGGAGGUGCCCCAGUACGUGGGCAUCCGGCUCCUGGUGGAAGGCUCCACUAUCAAGAAACCCCUGACCAUGUAUCAUCGACGGAUGGGGGUCCACCCCGCAUUUCCUCGUCUGCUGACCCAGCAAGGCUCUGGGGAAGGCAAGGACUCAGGGACCCCUACCCACAGGUCAGCUUCUAGGAAAGUUGGCAGGGCCAGGAGCCGGGGCACAUGGAAAGGCCAACCUUCACUGCCACUACUUCGGUGCCCGGAAAGGGGAAGAAUGGCAAGUCGAAAAGAGCCACAGCCCUGCUUACCCCCAGCCUUGAGCAGACCAGACCACCUUUGCAUCUGAAGACCCCCAUCACCCAACACACCCAAGGGUCCCGAGGUAGCAGGAAGUGUAAAGAAGUUGCCUGAGGUUGCACAGCUCAGAAGGGUCAGAGCCAGGAUGCAGACCCAGGCAAGGCCUUGAUGACUCUGCCAACAGCCAAGGUUUUCAUUUGCUUCCCACCCAACCCUGCUCUCAAGCUGGCACCCAGCAUCUCAAAGCCAAAAAAGGUGGGCCUUGAACUUGGACUCAUCCUGGUGGGCUGCACUAGACACCUGGGUUGGGGUUGGGGGCCCCAGGCACAGGGCAGCUCCCAGAACCCCUUUCCCAGACAGAUCCCUCAUCCUCUCUCUUUUCUCCACUCCAACUGAGGCUGUUCCCCAGUGCCCUCAAGGCCCCCAUCCUGGAAGUGUCUUGUGCCCUGUGUUCUUUGAAGGUGCAGCUCUUCCUAGCAUCCCUAAGAAGGUCAAGGGCAAGUUUAAGGCCAGACAGUGUGACAAACCGAGGCACCCCAGGCCCAGGCAUGCUCUGUGAAGAGGCUUAACCUCCCACAACCCUCACCCCUUGCUUCUACGUUCCAGGGGCCAGCAGUCAAGGGGCCCUGGGGGAUGUGAGGCUGGAGAAAGCCCGGCUCUGACCCCCAUGGCCCUGGCCUGGAUCCAGCCUCAAAUAAAAAGGAGCACAUGGAGUAUUCUGGGUUGACUUCCCUGUACUGGAGGGGGAAGGGUGGGACGAGGCCCCUGCCCCCAAGGUCCAGCCAUGGUGAGAGCUGGAGGCCGGAACUCCCAACAGGGAAGUUGGAGACUUCUGUGCAGGGAUCACACACAUGAGAAACCAAGUCUGGAAAAGGAUAUGUGGCUGGCCCAGUAUGUUGUGAUGUUGUGGCAGUGAGUGGAAAGCAGGGGGCUUUCUCCUGGCCACCAGGAGCUCCCCAGUCCCAGGAGACAGGCUAGGGACAGUAAUGACAGCAGCUGGGGGACAAAGUCAG
Heterocephalus glaber (naked mole-rat) is the source of this 1518-nucleotide long non-coding RNA. The record is from Ensembl. NCBI's taxonomy places the organism in Eukaryota, Metazoa, Chordata, Mammalia, Rodentia, Bathyergidae.